RNAcentral lists this ribosomal RNA (818 nucleotides) under uncultured Actinomycetes bacterium. Its description in RNAcentral is "bacterial SSU rRNA". It matches the Rfam family "Bacterial small subunit ribosomal RNA", at positions 68 to 918 of the family's 1533-position model. The record is from RNAcentral. Lineage: Bacteria; Bacillati; Actinomycetota; Actinomycetes.
GGUAAGGCCCUUUCGGGGGUACACGAGCGGCGAACGGGUGAGUAACACGUGGGCGACCUGCCCCCAGCUCUGGGAUAAGCCUGGGAAACUGGGUCUAAUACCGGAUAUGACCGACUACUGCAUGGUGGUUGGUGGAAAGUUUUUUCGGCUGGGGAUGGGCCCGCGGCCUAUCAGCUUGUUGGUGGGGUGAUGGCCUACCAAGGCGACGACGGGUAGCCGGCCUGAGAGGGCGACCGGCCACACUGGGACUGAGACACGGCCCAGACUCCUACGGGAGGCAGCAGUGGGGAAUAUUGCGCAAUGGGCGAAAGCCUGACGCAGCGACGCCGCGUGGGGGAUGACGGCCUUCGGGUUGUAAACCUCUUUCGACCUUGACGAAGCCUUUCGGGGUGACGGUAGGGGUAGAAGAAGCACCGGCCAACUACGUGCCAGCAGCCGCGGUAAUACGUAGGGUGCGAGCGUUGUCCGGAAUUAUUGGGCGUAAAGAGCUCGUAGGCGGUCUGUCGCGUCGGUCGUGAAAACUUGGGGCUUAACCCUGAGCUUGCGGUCGAUACGGGCAUGACUGGAGUUCGGCAGGGGAGACUGGAAUUCCUGGUGUAACGGUGAAAUGCGCAGAUACCAGGAGGAACGCCGGUGGCGAACGCUGUCUCUGGGCCGAUCUGACGCUUAGAGCGAAUCGUGCGGAGCAACAUGAUAGAUCCCUGGUAUCCCGCCGAAACGGUGGCGCUAGUGUGGGGCCAUUCACGGUCUCUUGCCCAGCUAAGCAUUAACGCCCUCCUGGGAGUACGGCCGCAGGCUAAACUCAAUGAUUGACGGGG